This 393-nucleotide long non-coding RNA is filed under the name Androctonus crassicauda. Lineage: Eukaryota; Metazoa; Arthropoda; Arachnida; Scorpiones; Buthidae. The record is from RNAcentral.
GUAGUCUGUAAGGAACCCCAUAACAAUUUUUACUUGAUUUUUAUACAGUGCAAGCAACUCUCUUUCUUUGUAUUAAGAGGUCUAAAAUAAGAAUCUUUGUUUGGCUUAGUCCACAAGUAGACUUCCAAUGGGAGAGGUACUGAGCUGCCAACCAGUUCUUCAUAAUCAACUCAAAUGCUUCAGAUCUCAUGCCCAGAGCAGAUUCUGCUUCAGUAAAGUGAAGAGAAGCUCCUUCUUUGGCCAGUGUAUUUGCAUUCUCAUUACACAUGAUUCCUUUGUGCUCUGGCACUCAAACAAGUUGAACCUUGUUUUUGGUAGCCAUUCCCAUACAAGCUUUGAAGUAAAGCAAAAGCUAUCAAGUACUUUUAAUGUAGCUUGAUUAUCUGAUGGGAU